Molecule: ribosomal RNA, 253 nt
Filed under: uncultured bacterium
Lineage: Bacteria
Description: partial 16S ribosomal RNA
Rfam family: Bacterial small subunit ribosomal RNA
Source: RNAcentral
UACAGAGGUCCCGAGCGUUGUUCGGAUUCACUGGGCGUAAAGGGUGCGUAGGUGGUGGGGUAAGUCUCGUGUGAAAGCUCGCAGCUUAACUGCGAAAAGUCACGGGAUACUAUUCCGCUGGAGGCUUGGAGGGGGGACUGGAAUACUUGGUGUAGCAGUGAAAUGCGUAGAUAUCAAGUGGAACACCAGUGGCGAAGGCGAGUCCCUGGACAAGACCUGACACUGAGGCACGAAAGCCAGGGGAGCAUACAGG